This 253-nucleotide ribosomal RNA is filed under the name uncultured prokaryote. RNAcentral's name for it is "partial 16S ribosomal RNA". It matches the Rfam family "Bacterial small subunit ribosomal RNA", at positions 524 to 776 of the family's 1533-position model. The record is from RNAcentral.
UACAGAGGCCUCAAGCGUUAGGCGGAAUCACUGGGCUUAAAGCGUGUGUAGGCGGACUUCUAAGUACCUUGUGAAAUCCCACGGCUUAACUGUGGAACUGCUUGGUAUACUGGUUGUCUUGAGCCACUCAGGGGCGAGCGGAACAAAUGGUGGAGCGGUGAAAUGCGUAGAUAUCUGGAGGAACACCGGUGGCGAAGGCGGCAUCCUGGACCGAGAUUGACGCUGAUGCGCGAAAGCCAGGGGAGCAAACGGG